This 473-nucleotide ribosomal RNA is filed under the name Escherichia coli. RNAcentral's name for it is "bacterial SSU rRNA". It matches the Rfam family "Bacterial small subunit ribosomal RNA", at positions 1 to 470 of the family's 1533-position model. The record is from RNAcentral. Lineage: Bacteria; Pseudomonadati; Pseudomonadota; Gammaproteobacteria; Enterobacterales; Enterobacteriaceae.
AAAUUGAAGAGUUUGAUCAUGGCUCAGAUUGAACGCUGGCGGCAGGCCUAACACAUGCAAGUCGAACGGUAACAGGAAACAGCUUGCUGUUUCGCUGACGAGUGGCGGACGGGUGAGUAAUGUCUGGGAAACUGCCUGAUGGAGGGGGAUAACUACUGGAAACGGUAGCUAAUACCGCAUAACGUCGCAAGACCAAAGAGGGGGACCUUCGGGCCUCUUGCCAUCGGAUGUGCCCAGAUGGGAUUAGCUAGUAGGUGGGGUAACGGCUCACCUAGGCGACGAUCCCUAGCUGGUCUGAGAGGAUGACCAGCCACACUGGAACUGAGACACGGUCCAGACUCCUACGGGAGGCAGCAGUGGGGAAUAUUGCACAAUGGGCGCAAGCCUGAUGCAGCCAUGCCGCGUGUAUGAAGAAGGCCUUCGGGUUGUAAAGUACUUUCAGUGGGGAGGAAGGGAGUAAAGUUAAUACCUUU